AAACCAUGCAGUAGGCAUUUUCUACUUAACUCUUUGAAUCACUCCUAUGCUUCAUAUAAUGUUUCAUCCUCAGAUUCCCGAAAGGACGUACUAUCGUUCCUCAAUUU
Molecule: non-coding RNA, 107 nt
Organism: Gossypium raimondii (Peruvian cotton)
Lineage: Eukaryota; Viridiplantae; Streptophyta; Magnoliopsida; Malvales; Malvaceae
Source: Rfam